GAGGAAUAUUGGUCAAUGGGCGUAAGCCUGAACCAGCCAAGUAGCGUGCAGGAUGACGGCCCUAUGGGUUGUAAACUGCUUUUAUGCGGGGAUAAAGGAGCCCACGUGUGGGCUUUUGCAGGUACCGCAUGAAUAAGGACCGGCUAAUUCCGUGCCAGCAGCCGCGGUAAUACGGAAGGUCCGGGCGUUAUCCGGAUUUAUUGGGUUUAAAGGGAGCGUAGGCCGCCUCUUAAGCGUGUUGUGAAAUGCGGGUGCUCAACAUCCGACUUGCAGCGCGAACUGGGGGGCUUGAGUGCGCCGAAAGUAGGCGGAAUUCGUGGUGUAGCGGUGAAAUGCUUAGAUAUCACGAAGAACUCCGAUUGCGAAGGCAGCUUACUGUAGCGCAACUGACGCUGAUGCUCGAAAGCGUGGGUAUCGAACAGGAUUAGAUACCCUGGUAGUCCACGCGGUAAGCGAUGGAUGCUCGUUGUCGGCCUUUGGGGCCGGUGACCAAGCGAAAGCGUUAAGCAUCCCACCUGGGGAGUACGCCGGCAACGGUG
Molecule: ribosomal RNA, 539 nt
Filed under: uncultured bacterium
Lineage: Bacteria
Description: bacterial SSU rRNA
Rfam family: Bacterial small subunit ribosomal RNA
Source: RNAcentral